RNAcentral lists this ribosomal RNA (233 nucleotides) under uncultured bacterium. RNAcentral's name for it is "partial 16S ribosomal RNA". It matches the Rfam family "Bacterial small subunit ribosomal RNA", at positions 100 to 334 of the family's 1533-position model. The record is from RNAcentral.
CGGGACGGGUGAGUAAUGUCUGGGAAACUGCCUGAUGGGAGGGGGUAACUACUGGAAACGGUAGCUAAUACCGCAUAACGUCGCAAGACCAAAGGGGGGAACCUCCGGGUCCUUUGCCAUCGGAUGUGCCCAGAUGGGAUUAGCUAGUAGGUGGGGUAACGGCUCACCUAGGCGACGAUCCCUAGCUGGUCUGAGAGGAUGACCAGCCACACUGGAACUGAGACACGGUCCAG